RNAcentral lists this ribosomal RNA (275 nucleotides) under uncultured bacterium. Its description in RNAcentral is "partial 16S ribosomal RNA". It matches the Rfam family "Bacterial small subunit ribosomal RNA", at positions 338 to 622 of the family's 1533-position model. The record is from RNAcentral.
CCUACGGGGGGCUGCAGCAAGGAAUCUUCCGCAAUGGGCGAAAGCCUGACGGAGCAACGCCGCGUGCGGGAUGACGCCCUUCGGGGUGUAAACCGCUUUUCGGGGGGACGAAGGCUUUGGCUUGACGGUACCCCCGGAAGAAGGACCGGCUAACUACGUGCCAGCAGCCGCGGUAAUACGUAGGGUCCGAGCGUUGUCCGGAGUUACUGGGCGUAAAGCGUACGCAGGCGGCGGCGUUGGCCCGGCGUGAAAGCCCCCGGCUCAACCGGGGAGGG